Molecule: ribosomal RNA, 328 nt
Filed under: uncultured bacterium
Lineage: Bacteria
Description: bacterial SSU rRNA
Rfam family: Bacterial small subunit ribosomal RNA
Source: RNAcentral
CAGGGAAUAUUAGAAAUGGACGAAAGUCUGAUCUAGCAACACCGCGUGUGCGAAGAAGGCCUUCGGGUUGUAAAGCACUUUUUGGAAGGAUUAGGAAGGAAUGUACUUCCAGAAUAAGUCUCGGCUAACUACGUGCCAGCAGCCGCGGUAACACGUAGGAGGCAAACGUUAUCCGGAUUUACUGGGCGUAAAGCGCGUGUAGGUGGUUCUGUAAGUAGGGCGUGAAAGCUCCUGGCUCAACUGGGAGAGGCCGUUCUAAACUGCAGAGCUAGAGAAUGGUGGAGGGGGGUGCAAUACCGGGUGUGGCGGGGGAAUGCGCAGAUAUCCG